UUGCUUGCUUCAGUAGCACAUGUACUAAAAUUGGGACGAUACAGAGAAGGUUAGCAUGGCCCCUGCGCAAGGAUGACACGCAAAUUCGUGAAGCGUUCCAUAGUUUU
RNAcentral lists this small nuclear RNA (107 nucleotides) under Castor canadensis (American beaver). The record is from RNAcentral. Lineage: Eukaryota; Metazoa; Chordata; Mammalia; Rodentia; Castoridae.